This 425-nucleotide ribosomal RNA is filed under the name uncultured bacterium. RNAcentral's name for it is "partial 16S ribosomal RNA". It matches the Rfam family "Bacterial small subunit ribosomal RNA", at positions 354 to 796 of the family's 1533-position model. The record is from RNAcentral.
GUAGGGAAUCUUGCGCAAUGGGCGAAAGACUGACGCAGCCAUGCCGCGUGAAUGAUGAAGGUCUUAGGAUUGUAAAAUUCUUUCACCGGGGACGAUAAUGACGGUACCCGGAGAAGAAGCUCCGGCUAACUUCGUGCCAGCAGCCGCGGUAAUACGAAGGGGGCUAGCGUUGCUCGGAAUUACUGGGCGUAAAGGGCGCGUAGGCGGACAGCUUAGUCAGAGGUGAAAGCCCAGGGCUCAACCUUGGAAUUGCCUUUGAUACUGGCUGUCUUGAGUUUGGGAGAGGUGAGUGGAACUCAGAGUGUAGAGGUGAAAUUCGUAGAUAUUCGGAAGAACACCAGUGGCGAAGGCGACUCACUGGCCCGUUACUGACGCUGAGGCGCGAAAGCGUGGGGAGCAAACAGGAUUAGAUACCCCAGUAGUCC